AAAGGAAGCAUGGCAGUUAAAAGGGUCCCCAAUAAGGUCUUUCACAGAUCAAACUUGAACUAACAUUUAAUAAAAGUAUUAGCUGUUCAUGGUCGUGAAUAAUUUUCUGUUCAUACCAUAUAAAGAUUAGGAUAGAUUAACCCUUUUUGUCUUCAUAAUUUGUAGUUUUAAUUUCAAUUUGUUCCUAUGGCUUUAAACAUAAGUACAAACAAUAUGAACUAAUAUGAUAAUUUAAUCUUUAUGAUUAUGAACAUUCAAGGACGCCCUUCUAGAUGCUUAAAAUGACCUUUACGAAAAAAUCAUGUAGAUGCAGAGAAGUUAUAAGAUGAUGACUCUUAUUAAUCUAAGAUACUGUAAUAGCCCAAGCCCACCGCUAGUAAAUAUUGUCUUCUUAGAACACGUCUGCUAGGAAUAGCAGAUGUUUCCACUAUUUUAAAAAAUGUUUCAUUCUUUUCUCCAACCGAUGUGGGACCUCACAAAAAAAAAGGACAUCCGAUAAAAUUGGAACGAUACAGAGAAGAUUAGCAUGGCCCCUGCACAAGGAUGACAUGCACAAAUCGAGAAAUGGUCCAAAUUUUUAAAAAA
This is a long non-coding RNA of Cucurbita maxima (winter squash), 585 nucleotides long. RefSeq lists it as uncharacterized. The record is from RefSeq and is a predicted model, not a curated record. The transcript has 3 exons. NCBI's taxonomy places the organism in Eukaryota, Viridiplantae, Streptophyta, Magnoliopsida, Cucurbitales, Cucurbitaceae.